Molecule: unclassified non-coding RNA, 311 nt
Filed under: plant metagenome
Description: partial contains 5.8S ribosomal RNA, internal transcribed spacer 2, and large subunit ribosomal RNA
Rfam family: 5.8S ribosomal RNA (bases 1-105)
Source: RNAcentral
GAAAUGCGAUAAGUAAUGUGAAUUGCAGAAUUCAGUGAAUCAUCGAAUCUUUGAACGCACAUUGCGCCCGCUAGUAUUCUGGCGGGCAUGCCUGUUCGAGCGUCAUUUCCACCAUCAGGCCCCCGGGCCUGUGUUGGGGACCUGCGGCUGCCCGCAGGCCCCGAAAUUCAGUGGCGGUCGCGCCGUAGCAACCGAGCGUAGUAACUAAAACGUCUCGCUCUGGCUCGCUGGGCGCGCUCCGGCCGUAAAACACCCCCCCUUUUCGCAAAGGUUGACCUCGGAUCAGGUAGGAAUACCCGCUGAACUUAAGC